This 909-nucleotide ribosomal RNA is filed under the name Bifidobacterium bifidum. RNAcentral's name for it is "bacterial SSU rRNA". It matches the Rfam family "Bacterial small subunit ribosomal RNA", at positions 153 to 1104 of the family's 1533-position model. Lineage: Bacteria; Bacillati; Actinomycetota; Actinomycetes; Bifidobacteriales; Bifidobacteriaceae. The record is from RNAcentral.
UUUGGGGUGGUUAAAUCCGGAUGUUCCACAUGAUCGCAUGUGAUUGUGGGAAAGAUUCUAUCGGCGUGGGAUGGGGUCGCGUCCUAUCAGCUUGUUGGUGAGGUAACGGCUCACCAAGGCUUCGACGGGUAGCCGGCCUGAGAGGGCGACCGGCCACAUUGGGACUGAGAUACGGCCCAGACUCCUACGGGAGGCAGCAGUGGGGAAUAUUGCACAAUGGGCGCAAGCCUGAUGCAGCGACGCCGCGUGAGGGAUGGAGGCCUUCGGGUUGUAAACCUCUUUUGUUUGGGAGCAAGCCUUCGGGUGAGUGUACCUUUCGAAUAAGCGCCGGCUAACUACGUGCCAGCAGCCGCGGUAAUACGUAGGGCGCAAGCGUUAUCCGGAUUUAUUGGGCGUAAAGGGCUCGUAGGCGGCUCGUCGCGUCCGGUGUGAAAGUCCAUCGCUUAACGGUGGAUCUGCGCCGGGUACGGGCGGGCUGGAGUGCGGUAGGGGAGACUGGAAUUCCCGGUGUAACGGUGGAAUGUGUAGAUAUCGGGAAGAACACCGAUGGCGAAGGCAGGUCUCUGGGCCGUCACUGACGCUGAGGAGCGAAAGCGUGGGGAGCGAACAGGAUUAGAUACCCUGGUAGUCCACGCCGUAAACGGUGGACGCUGGAUGUGGGGCACGUUCCACGUGUUCCGUGUCGGAGCUAACGCGUUAAGCGUCCCGCCUGGGGAGUACGGCCGCAAGGCUAAAACUCAAAGAAAUUGACGGGGGCCCGCACAAGCGGCGGAGCAUGCGGAUUAAUUCGAUGCAACGCGAAGAACCUUACCUGGGCUUGACAUGUUCCCGACGACGCCAGAGAUGGCGUUUCCCUUCGGGGCGGGUUCACAGGUGUGGGCAUUGGUCAUCAGCACUAUUACACCACCA